Nasonia vitripennis (jewel wasp) is the source of this 1603-nucleotide long non-coding RNA. RefSeq lists it as uncharacterized. Lineage: Eukaryota; Metazoa; Arthropoda; Insecta; Hymenoptera; Pteromalidae. The record is from RefSeq and is a predicted model, not a curated record. The transcript is spliced from 2 exons.
GAUAAUAAAACAUUUGACAAUUGGAAUAUCUUUAUAAAUAAAACCCUCAUGUUAAAAAACAAUGUUUUAUAUAGGCUAUACAGUAUGGGAAAAAAUAUAUAUAAUAAAUGUUUUAGAUUGUUUUGUCCACACUAAUCUCGCUAUUUACAUCUCUGGAUAAUAUAAAUUUUCAAUGAAAAAAGACGCAACCAAUUUUGAUCCAAAACCAUAGUUAUUAUUAAAUUUUUCUGAAAAUAUUGCACAGACGGGUGUUGAUCGAUUCCGGGGACAUGGACACCGGGGAUCAGUACACGGCGCUCCUCAAAGACGUCCUGGCGGAUGAAAACGCGACGAUUGAGCACCUGAUAGUAACGCACUGGCAUCACGACCACAUCGGCGGCGUCAGGGCGGUCCAGAGUUUGCUGAAAGGCAAUCCGCAAUCGAGUCCCGCGACGGUCUGGAAGCUGCCUCGGUCUACUGGCGACCCUGGCGGCGAGCAGGACGAGGAAUCCGCCGGUGCUUGGAGCCCUUUGAAUGUAAAAACUCUUUUUAGCACACACAUGGUUUUAUCGGAAAGGCCUAUAUUAUAUGCCGAUUCAUGCAAUUUAAUCUAACAAAUCAGGUUCGAGGUUCAAUCGGCUACUGGCGCAGGUCGUAUUAUUGUGAUAUAUCACCGUAUAAUAUGAUCGCUGUUAAUUAUAAUCGAGGCGUUAAAAUCUACACUACUCUAAAUUACUUGGCAUACAUUUUUCAACUUACUCCACUGUAAUAAAAACGAACGAUCAGGACGAGCAGCUGAUAGAGAUAGAAGGAGCGAACCUGCGGAUAAAGCACACCCCGGGUCACACGACCGAUCACGCCUGUCUCGUGUUGGAGGAGGAGAACGCACUGUUCAGCGGCGACUGCAUCCUCGGCGAGACCUCGGCCGUCUUCGAGGACCUGCACGACUACCUCAUCUCGCUGAAAAAGAUCCUGCGGCAGGACGCUAAACUGAUAUAUCCGGGACACGGACCUGUGGUGCGAGAUCCUAGCACGAAGAUUCAGGCCUACAUCGAUCACAGACAGAAGAGGGAAGAACAGAUAGUGCAGUUUCUCGAGGGCAGAAGGGGUCGAGAGGCUUGCGGUGUCUGGGAUAUCGUCGACUCUAUGUACAAGGACACGCCGAAAAACCUCUGGCCAGCGUGCGCAUCGAAUGUGAACCAUCAUUUGGAGAAACUCUUGAAGGAGGGUCGAGUCAGUCACGAGGACGAUAAGUGGUUGAUAAUUUGAGAAAAGAAAUGCGUGCAAUAUAAAAGAAAACACAAUCGUCUAGAUUUUGUAAAAUAAAAAAAAAAGAAGAAAGCAUAUCGUGUAAAUAUUUGUAAAGUAAAUAAAGCAAUUGCGAGCGCUGCAAAAUGAAAGUUUUCUACGUAAAAUUCAGCAAAAACUUAUUUUUAUGAUUUCCAUUUUUUGUUACAAAAAUUGUAUGUUACACAUAAUAAUAGGUAUAAAAACAAAGAGGCCGUUGAAGACCACAAUAUUAUCUUACAAAAAGAAACUUAACAAAGCAAAAUCAUCGAUGAUCGUACAGUUUCGCUAGAAAAAAGAAAUCGUGUAGUAAAGAAUAAAAUCUACGGCUCAUUGA